GCCACACUUGUGCGAUGUUGUGAUCUUCCAGUAAUUUAAAUAAUAAGUUAAAGAUUUAUUUGUUAUAUGAGUAAUUUUCUUUCUCCAAACCCACAGCUGUUUUCACAGGGUCAGCCAGGGGCAAAAGGAAAAAGUCUGGGGGACCAAGGCAUAUGCCUGAAAGAAAAAGGCCACAAAAGAAUUGCUCCUACCACACUCGCCUAGAGGCUUUCCCCAUCAGGAGUGUUGUAAAAGAAAGAGUGAGAAAGGGCAAAGCAGAAAUGUUGGUUGACUGGGAGCCCUGUCCAGUAUGAUUAAACAAGCCUUUUAACAAGUGUAAAGCACACAUCAUUACUA
Rhinichthys klamathensis goyatoka is the source of this 336-nucleotide long non-coding RNA. RefSeq lists it as uncharacterized. The record is from RefSeq and is a predicted model, not a curated record. Lineage: Eukaryota; Metazoa; Chordata; Actinopteri; Cypriniformes; Leuciscidae. The transcript has 5 exons.